This 497-nucleotide ribosomal RNA is filed under the name uncultured bacterium. Its description in RNAcentral is "partial 16S ribosomal RNA". It matches the Rfam family "Bacterial small subunit ribosomal RNA", at positions 28 to 507 of the family's 1533-position model. The record is from RNAcentral.
GAUGAACGCUGGCGGCGUGCCUAAUACAUGCAAGUCGAGCGAACAGACGAGGACCUUGCUCCUCUGACGUUAGCGGCGGACGGGUGAGUAACACGUGGAUAACCUACCUAUAAGACUGGGAUAACUUCGGGAAACCGGAGCUACUACCGGCUAAUAUAUUGAACCGCAUGGUUCAAUAGUGAACGACGGUUUUGCUGUCACUUAUAGAUGGAUCCGCGCCGCAUUAGCUAGUUGGUAAGGUAACGGCUUACCAAGGCAACGAUGCGUAGCCGACCUGAGAGGGUGAUCGGCCACACUGGAACUGAGACACGGUCCAGACUCCUACGGGAGGCAGCAGUAGGGAAUCUUCCGCAAUGGGCGAAAGCCUGACGGAGCAACGCCGCGUGAGUGAUGAAGGUCUUCGGAUCGUAAAACUCUGUUAUUAGGGAAGAACAAAUGUGUAAUUAACUAGGCACGGCAUGACGGUACCUAAUCAGAAAGCCACGGCUAACUACGUG